Molecule: transfer RNA, 84 nt
Filed under: Gammaproteobacteria bacterium
Lineage: Bacteria; Pseudomonadati; Pseudomonadota; Gammaproteobacteria
Also listed under: 1 other name
Description: tRNA-Leu
Rfam family: tRNA
About the family: Transfer RNA (tRNA) molecules are approximately 80 nucleotides in length.
Source: RNAcentral
GCGAGAGUGGCGGAAUUGGUAGACGCGCUGGUUUUAGGUACCAGUGUCCUUGACGUGAGAGUUCGAGUCUCUCCUCUCGCACCA